AGCGAACGUUUGCGGCGGGCCUAACACAUGCAAGUCGAACGAGAACUUCCUCUUCGGAGGGAGGGACAGUGGCGCACGGGUGCGUAACACGUGGGUAAUCAACCCUCUAGACCGGGACAACCCAGGGAAACUUGGGCUAAUACCGGAUGUGACGGCGAGGUCUUCGGGCCAUGUCGUGAAAGGAGUAAUCCGUUAGAGGACGAGCCCGCGGCCCAUCAGCUUGUUGGCGAGGUAAUGGCUCACCAAGGCUAAGACGGGUAGCUGGUCUGAGAGGAUGAUCAGCCACACUGGAACUGAGACACGGUCCAGACUCCUACGGGAGGCAGCAGUGGGGAAUAUUGCGCAAUGGGCGAAAGCCUGACGCAGCCACGCCGCGUGUGCGAUGAAGGUCUUCGGAUCGUAAAGCACUGUGGAGGGAGAAGAAAACUGACGGUAUCCCUUUAGCAAGCACCGGCUAACUCCG
RNAcentral lists this ribosomal RNA (463 nucleotides) under uncultured Plesiocystis sp. RNAcentral's name for it is "bacterial SSU rRNA". It matches the Rfam family "Bacterial small subunit ribosomal RNA", at positions 29 to 505 of the family's 1533-position model. The record is from RNAcentral. Lineage: Bacteria; Pseudomonadati; Myxococcota; Nannocystales; Nannocystaceae.